This 424-nucleotide ribosomal RNA is filed under the name uncultured bacterium. Its description in RNAcentral is "bacterial SSU rRNA". It matches the Rfam family "Bacterial small subunit ribosomal RNA", at positions 358 to 773 of the family's 1533-position model. The record is from RNAcentral.
AGAGGCUUCGGCAAUGGGGGAAACCCUGACCGAGCGACGCCGCGUGGAGGAUGAAGGCCUUUGGGUUGUAAACUCCUGUCAUGAGGGAAGAAUCGUCAUCGUUCGAAUAGGGCGGUGACCUGACGGUACCUCAAGAGGAAGCUCCGGCUAACUCCGUGCCAGCAGCCGCGGUAAUACGGGGGGGGCAAGCGUUGUUCGGAAUUACUGGGCGUAAAGGGCUCGUAGGUGGCCAACUAAGUCAGACGUGAAAUCCCCAGGCUUAACCUGGGAACUGCGUCUGAUACUGGCUGGCUUGAAUUCGGGAGAGGGAUGCAGAAUUCCAGGUGUAGCGGUGAAAUGCGUAGAUAUCUGGAGGAAUACCGGUGGCGAAGGCGGCAUCCUGGACCGAGAUUGACACUGAGGAGCGAAAGCUAGGGGAGCAAAC